GUAAAUAUAAUUGAGCUUGAUAAAUGAAAUCUGGAUAAGUAUCUAAUCAGCAUUCUCGUAUGAUUCAUUACGUUUAUUAAAAGGAUUACGCAUCAAUUUCUGUAAGAGGAUUAUUUUAUUGAUUAAGAUAAGUUCAAGAGAUAUUACCAACGAAAAUGUUGGAUGACGGAAAAAAUUGGUCUAUGACAAAUAAAAAUCUGUGGGAGACUUUCCAAUUGAAGCUGAGUGCUCCUGAAUUGAUGUGAGAGAAGAUGAAAAAAUAUAUGGAGUUAGAACCCACCGACACUCAAUAUGUUUUUCAUGUAAUAUAUAUUUUAUUUAUCCAUUGAAUCAAUAAACAACAUAAAAUAUUAUCAAUCA
Long non-coding RNA from Cotesia glomerata, 360 nucleotides. RefSeq lists it as uncharacterized. The transcript has 2 exons. The record is from RefSeq and is a predicted model, not a curated record. NCBI's taxonomy places the organism in Eukaryota, Metazoa, Arthropoda, Insecta, Hymenoptera, Braconidae.